GAUGCUUUUCUUAAAGGGGAAUAUCUUGU
Molecule: non-coding RNA, 29 nt
Filed under: Mus musculus (house mouse)
Lineage: Eukaryota; Metazoa; Chordata; Mammalia; Rodentia; Muridae
Source: RNAcentral